UCAUGAUGUUGGAAAGCCUUCGCUGGGAAGGGGACAUCAUUUUCAGUAGAAAAUGAGAUGCAUUUUAAGAAGUUAAAUUGGCACAGAGGUUGGCAAAGAAGUUUAAUUGAAAGCAUGUUAGGAGCGGCGUUGUUCCGAAAUCUGAGGGGCGGAGUCGACACGUAGAGCGGCUUUGCGCGUGCGCAUCAGCUAGGCGGUUAGAUUUGAAUACUUCUCUGAGUUUGGCUGGGCGUUGUGAGGUGACGUUUUUGCUGAAGAGCGCGCGGACCCCAAACAAGUUAAGCUGGUGGGCUGUGGCAGGAAAAAAAGUUUUCUUAAAAUAUGGAUGGGGUGUCUUCAGAGACUAAUGAAGAAAAGUAAGUUCAUGAUUCCGUGUAUCUAAAAACGUUAUAUUCUAUUAGAGAAUG
RNAcentral lists this long non-coding RNA (407 nucleotides) under Ictidomys tridecemlineatus (thirteen-lined ground squirrel). Its description in RNAcentral is "lncRNA (ENSSTOG00000034277.1)". Lineage: Eukaryota; Metazoa; Chordata; Mammalia; Rodentia; Sciuridae. The record is from RNAcentral.